AGUCAUUGGAGGGUUUGAGCAG
RNAcentral lists this microRNA (22 nucleotides) under Pan troglodytes (chimpanzee). RNAcentral's name for it is "ptr-miR-616". Its record names the gene ptr-miR-616. RNAcentral also lists the same sequence under 1 other name. Lineage: Eukaryota; Metazoa; Chordata; Mammalia; Primates; Hominidae. The record is from miRBase by way of RNAcentral.